GAUGAAGAACGCAGCGAAAUGCGAUAAGUAAUGUGAAUUGCAGAAUUCAGUGAAUCAUCGAAUCUUUGAACGCACAUUGCGCCCGCCAGCAUUCUGGCGGGCAUGCCUGUUCGAGCGUCAUUUCAACCCUCGAGCCCCCCCGGGGGCCUCGGUGUUGGGGGACGGCACACCAGCCGCCCCCGAAAUGCAGUGGCGACCCCGCCGCAGCCUCCCCUGCGUAGUAGCACACACCUCGCACCGGAGCGCGGAGGCGGUCACGCCGUAAAACGCCCAACUUUCUUAGAGUUGACCUCGGAUCAGGUAGGAAUACCCGCUGAACUUAAGCAUAUCAAUAAGUGGAGGA
Molecule: unclassified non-coding RNA, 343 nt
Filed under: soil metagenome
Description: partial contains 5.8S ribosomal RNA, internal transcribed spacer 2, and large subunit ribosomal RNA
Rfam family: 5.8S ribosomal RNA (bases 1-120)
Source: RNAcentral